GAUCAUGGCUCAGGAUGAACGCUAGCUACAGGCUUAACACAUGCAAGUCGAGGGGAAACGAUAUUGGAAGCUUGCUUCCGGUAGGCGUCGACCGGCGCACGGGUGAGUAACGCGUAUCCAACCUGCCCAUCACUUGGGGAAUAACCUUGCGAAAGUAAGACUAAUGCCCAAUGAUAUUUAUAGAAGGCAUCCGAAAUGAAUUAAAGAUUUAUCGGUGAUGGAUGGGGACGCGUCUGAUUAG
RNAcentral lists this ribosomal RNA (241 nucleotides) under uncultured bacterium. RNAcentral describes it as "partial 16S ribosomal RNA". It matches the Rfam family "Bacterial small subunit ribosomal RNA", at positions 15 to 244 of the family's 1533-position model. The record is from RNAcentral.